RNAcentral lists this ribosomal RNA (359 nucleotides) under uncultured bacterium. RNAcentral's name for it is "bacterial SSU rRNA". It matches the Rfam family "Bacterial small subunit ribosomal RNA", at positions 9 to 373 of the family's 1533-position model. The record is from RNAcentral.
GAGUUUGAUCAUGGCUCAGGAUGAACGCUAGCGGCAGGCUUAACACAUGCAAGUCGAGGGGUAGUAUAGCAAUAUAUGAGACCGGCGCACGGGUGCGUAACGCGUAUGCAAUCUACCUUUUACAGGGGAAUAGCCCAGAGAAAUUUGGAUUAAUGCCCCAUGGUAUAAUUGAUUGGCAUCAAUUAAUUAUUAAAGUUCCAACGGUAAAAGAUGAGCAUGCGUCCCAUUAGCUAGUUGGUAUGGUAACGGCAUACCAAGGCGAUGAUGGGUAGGGGUCCUGAGAGGGAGAUCCCCCACACUGGUACUGAGACACGGACCAGACUCCUACGGGAGGCAGCAGAGAGGAAUAUUGGACAAUG